RNAcentral lists this ribosomal RNA (405 nucleotides) under uncultured bacterium. RNAcentral's name for it is "bacterial SSU rRNA". It matches the Rfam family "Bacterial small subunit ribosomal RNA", at positions 355 to 776 of the family's 1533-position model. The record is from RNAcentral.
UGAGGAAUAUUGCACAAUGGGGGCAACCCUGAUGCAGCAACGCCGCGUGGAGGAUGAAGGUCUUUGGAUUGUAAACUCCUUUUCUGCGGGACGAGGAAGGACGGUACCGCAGGAAUAAGUCACGGCUAACUACGUGCCAGCAGCCGCGGUAAUACGUAGGUGGCGAGCGUUAUCCGGAAUUACUGGGCGUAAAGCGCACGCAGGCGGCAUGCCAAGUCUGGCGUAAAAUCUCCCGGCUUAACUGGGAGGGGUCGUUGGAAACUGGCAGGCUUGAGGCGAUGAGAGGGACAUGGAAUUCCCGGUGUAGUGGUGGAAUGCGUAGAUAUCGGGAGGAACACCAGAGGCGAAAGCGGUGUCCUGGCAUUGGCCUGACGCUCAUGUGCGAAAGCGUGGGGAGCGAACGGG